CUCCUGCAGUCCACACUCCCCGAGUUCACUGAUCAGGAUAUUGUGAGAGGCUGUUGGAAGCUUUCCUCAGGUUUAGGUAGAAAACAUCCACUGCUCUCCACUCAUCCAAUUCAACUCAUUUAAAAUGUGAUAUUUAGUAGAGCACAGAGAUAACCCAAGACUAGAAUCUCCUGUGCUAGGCCCCAUUCACAUGAAGAACAGGAAAAGAUGUAUUUUUAAAGGUGUGAAGUGUCUUCUCCAGCAAAGCUUCCUUCAGAGGCAGAGUAACAGGAGAGAUGUUUGGCACUGCUAAAGAAGAGGUCAGAUGGCUUACGCUGUCUUUUCAGAUUUAGUAUGUUUUCUUUGCUGCAAGGCCAGUACAUGACCUUGCUGUUGUUUCAAGCAUGGGCUCUAUGGAAGAUGACAACUUCAGAUUACAUCUUGGAAGUCCAGAAGACAACUUCAUGGUCAUGAUUGUCACCACUUGUCAUCCCUUCCUUUGACAAAAAGGAUUCAGCUGAUUUUCUGCACAACAGCUAUUAUGCUUUCCCAACUUAGAGAGC
This 542-nucleotide long non-coding RNA is filed under the name Cyanistes caeruleus (blue tit). Its description in RNAcentral is "lncRNA (ENSCCEG00000016247.1)". Lineage: Eukaryota; Metazoa; Chordata; Aves; Passeriformes; Paridae. The record is from RNAcentral.